GAUGAACGCUGGCGGCGUGCCUAAUACAUGCAAGUCGAGCGAACAGAUAAGGAGCUUGCUCCUUUGACGUUAGCGGCGGACGGGUGAGUAACACGUGGGUAACCUACCUAUAAGACUGGAAUAACUCCGGGAAACCGGGGCUAAUGCCGGAUAACAUUUAGAACCGCAUGGUUCUAAAGUGAAAGAUGGUUUUACUAUCACUUAUAGAUGGACCCGCGCCGUAUUAGCUAGUUGGUAAGGUAACGGCUUACCAAGGCAACGAUACGUAGCCGACCUGAGAGGGUGAGCCGCCACACUGGAACUGAGACACGGUCCAGACUCCUACGGGAGGCAGCAGUAGGGAAUCUUCCGCAAUGGGCGAAAGCCUGACGGAGCAACGCCGCGUGAGUGAUGAAGGUCUUCGGAUCGUAAAACUCUGUUAUUAGGGAAGAACAAAUGUGUAAGUAACUGUGCACGUCUUGACGGUACCUAAUCAGAAAGCCACGGCUAACUACGUG
Molecule: ribosomal RNA, 497 nt
Filed under: uncultured bacterium
Lineage: Bacteria
Description: partial 16S ribosomal RNA
Rfam family: Bacterial small subunit ribosomal RNA
Source: RNAcentral